UACAGAGGUCUCAAGCGUUUGUUCGGAUUCAUUGGGCGUAAAGGGUGUGUAGGUGGCGCGCUAAGUCGGGUGUGAAAUUUCGGAGCUUAACUUCGAAACUGCAUUCGAUACUGGCGUGCUUGAGGACUGGAGAGGAGACUGGAAUUCAUGGUGUAGCAGUGAAAUGCGUAGAGAUCAUGAGGAAGACCAGUGGCGAAGGCGGGUCUCUGGACAGUUCCUGACACUGAGACACGAAGGCCAGGGGAGCAAACGGG
Molecule: ribosomal RNA, 254 nt
Filed under: uncultured bacterium
Lineage: Bacteria
Description: partial 16S ribosomal RNA
Rfam family: Bacterial small subunit ribosomal RNA
Source: RNAcentral